Long non-coding RNA from Mercenaria mercenaria, 4962 nucleotides. RefSeq lists it as uncharacterized. The record is from RefSeq and is a predicted model, not a curated record. The transcript has 2 exons. Lineage: Eukaryota; Metazoa; Mollusca; Bivalvia; Venerida; Veneridae.
UCCAAGAGAAUCUUCAAUAAUCGGCGUCUUAAUGGAAAAGGUAGAAGGAAACUAUUCGCUGAGGCUUUAAAUCUAAGUUUAUCGUGGGAUUUUUAACGACAUUCACCGGUUUCGUAAAGCGGUCGUUUGUUUUGGCGCAAUGCGGAAGUGUCGUCUUGAUGCAGAUUUUUGGCUAAAAAGUUGACGAAUUCUUCGUCUCACUACGUCUGUCAUUUGUUUUACGUUUGCCAUCAGUUUUAGGCAGUAACUGUUAGCUGUCGAGAGUACCGGAGCAGACUGUGAAGUAUUUCUAUAGAUCUAAAUAUGGUUCGUAAAAAAGGACAUAAUUUUUUGUCUGGCAUUCGGAAUUCCUACACUAGUGAUCCAUGAGGACUUUAUCAAGUUUCCAGAAUGGCAGGAAGGAAGGACUUAUUGAAUUGGACCACUUGACAAGGCAGCUUACAAAAGUCAGAAAUUUAAAAGCAGCCACUCGGGGACAGUAAAUUAAAGCUUGUCUACAUUUUCCAUAAAAUUUCCAAAAUAAAUACUGGAAAAAAAACAACAUGGAAAUACAUACGACAUCAACACAAAAUAGCACAGCACCAGAAUGAAUGCGGAAGUUGUCAUGAGUGGUGUGGCAUUGUUCCUGUUCAUUUAUUGUUUACAGAUUCCAAAAGUCUGAACCAGAUAUGGGUAGAGUACAGUUUGAGAAAUGUCUUGGUAGAACAGAUACUAAGGAAAUAAUAAAGAGCAGAACAGACCACAUUUCUCCUUCUUAUAACUGGUAAAGUUCCAAGUAAAGGCGAGUACAAUAAUGCAGCCCCAGUGAGAGUUUGUGAUGAGGUGUCAACUGUAAAUGUGUGGUCGUUAAAUGAUGUGCAGUCAGAUUGACAAGUAUUUGAAGUAACAUUAAUUUAUAAAUUAUCAAUUCUGAGAGAAAUUUUUGCUGAGCUUUGUGCAGGAUACUCUUAAAAAAUACGUGAACCAGAAUUUUAUAUUAUAAGUACAAUGUCAGAUGUACUCCAGACUUCACACAUAUGUUGAUGUUUAUACAUAUGUGGUGAUUAAUUUGUCAAGUGAAGAAAUUUUAUGAAUAAUGUUAGUGGGUGACAGAACAGAAGUACAAAGUCAAUUACAGAGGUCGACAACACUGAGUUUAGGAUGCAGAAAAAAUCCGGUGAUUCUGACGAAACAACAUACCUAGAAAGAUUAUACUAGUAAAAUGAACACUUUUAGUGUAUGGAAAAGUUUGGAAGCAGGUUACCAUUGACAGAAGAGACAGUAUUUACAGACUGGUCUACACUUAUUUUGAUUUGACUUUUACACGGUGAUUCCUCCAGUAAACAACUAGUGAUCUGAGAGAAUUGUGUUCAUUAUAUCAUACAGGUUUAGAGUGAAUGUAAAAUUAAUGUGUAUUUAAAUCAAUCAAAAUUUUUCAAAAUUGGAUGUUGAAACUUUACAGCUGUUUAGUAUUUCAGUAAUCAGUUAGGAUUUUUGAGUGAUUUCAAUAAAGUACAAAUUAAAAAAAAAAAAAGAAUCACUAUUGGCCAAGAUGAUGUGCUAUUGUAAAAGAUAGAAAGAAAAUUCACAAGUCACAUUAACUUGGUAAAAGGGAUUUUAACAGAAUUAAACUAUAAUUGGUGAAGGAAUCUGCAUGUUGUAUCAAAUAGCUAUAAUGUAUUUUGUAGUUCUUUGGAUGUAUCUUCUAUCUAUCUCUUUUCAAACUAAAUUUUAUCUCUUAAAUCUAUUGAAAUUGCCAUCAAAAUAAAAAUUUCUUUUAAAAACAAUAUAUUUAACAAUUAAAAGGUAUAUUCAACAAGCCAGUACUUUGUUACUAAUCUUAGUCAGUGGAAUUUAUUUUUAGACUUGUUCUAUUUUUUUUUUAUUCAGUUUUUGGAUCCCCAUUUACUAGUUACUGUACACAUUUUGGGAUUCCAGCAAUUUUCCACAUCCUCAUUACAAGGUAGUAUUGAUUUUUCAUUGGUCCAUAAAAUAAAACUGUUCUAUUAAUAGAUUUUCAGAAAAUCUGUUUGAGUUAUUUAUACCCAGUAUACAAAUUCAUGUACUUUUAUUUGAUUUGAACAUUACUGUUUAAUAUUAUCCUGAACAAAUUACAGGUUUUCUUUGCUUUAUAUUAGAGAAUUUUGGUAAAUUUCGUUGAUGAAAGGUCCAAGGUACUUUUCUCAAAUAGUCAAUUAAUAGAAAUUUUCAAAUAUAAUAUCUUGUGCAGUGAAUUAAAAAGAAAUUUAUUUAUUUCAGUACUAGUCAGUUCUGAACUUGAAAGAUACUUUGAUAGGUGUUAAGCUCGACUAUUCGUAGAAUAGGGGAGCUAUCCUACUCGCCCUGGCGUGAGCGUGAGCGUCACACAAAUGUUAAAGUUUGCGUACCACCCCAAAUAUUUUCAAAGUGCAUUAAGAUAUUGCUUUCAUAUUUUGCAUACUUGUUUACCAUCAUGACCCCAGUCUGUAAAAAAGAGGAGGCAACUCUGUCAAGCGUUUUGACUGAAUUAUGGCCCCUUUUCGACUUAGAAUAAAUGUUAAAGUUUGCGUACCACCCCAAAUAUUUUCAAAGUGCAUUAAGAUAUUGCUUUCAUAUUUUGCAUACUUGUUAACCAUCAUGACCCCAGUCUUUAAAAAAGAGGAGGCAACUCUGUCAAGCAUUUUGACUGAAUUAUGGCCCCUUUUCGACUUAGAAUAAAUGUUAAAAUUUGCGUACCACCCCAAAUAUUUUCAAAGUCCAUUGAGGUAUUGCUUUCAUAUUUUGCAUACUUGUUUACCAUCAUGAUCCCAGUCUGUAAAAAGGAGGAGGCAACUCUAUCAAGCAUUUUGACUGAAUUAUGGCCCCUUUUCGACUUAGAAUAAAUGUUAAAGUUUGCGUACCACCCCAAAUAUUUUCAAAGUCCAUUGAGAUAUUGCUUUCAUAUUUUUCAUACUUGUUUACCAUCAUGACCCCAGUCUGUAAAAAGGAGGAGGCAACUCUUUCAAGCAUUUUGACUGAAUUAUGGCCCCUUUUCGACUUAGAAUAUGCUUAUAGUAAUGUUAAAGUUUUACUCAUUGCUUAUCAGCUCUUGUUGGUCUACUACACACUUUAUAUAUUUCUAUGGCUUGAUUAGAAGUAGCCUGUUGGUUUAAUUCAGUAAUUUACUAUAGGAAGAAUUAUUUAAGGUAGCUCAACACAACUUCUGGACAUUAAGGUGAUUUAUUAUCAUAUAAUGAUAUAAGAUAAUUUUCAUUGAGUCCUACAUACCAGAACAUUUUUGAGUGACAAUUAGAAAUAUUUUAGAUUACUUGGGGUGGUUCACUACCUGUUAGAAAUAUUUAAGGUGGUUAACCAUCUGUUAGAAAAUGAUAAUACAGUACAGUACUGGGACUUGUUUUUGCAGGCAAUUAUCACAACAUGAAAUUUUAUAGGUGCUGAAUUGAAGGUCAUUUCCUCCAUGGUUAUUGUCGUGGUGUUUAUAACUCCCCCGCCACAAGUGGUGGGGGUUAUAGGAAUGGUCUCUGUCCAUCCUUCCCUACUUCCGUCCUUCCAUCUUCCGUCCUUCCGUAACAUUUUGUGUCCGCUCUGUAUCUCCUAAACCCCUUAACAUGUUGAAGGAUUUUCAUGAAACUUGGUUCAAAUAAUCACCUCAUCAAGACAAUGUGCAGAACCUAUGAGUCUCCCAUGUCGGUUCAAGGUCAAGGUCACAACUCAAAGCCUUCAAUUUUGUGUCUGCUCUGUAUCUCCUAAACCCCUUCAAGUGUGCUGUUAACAGACAGCUUUUGUGAUACUGUAAAACCAUUUAAUUUCGUGGGCAUGAAAUUUCAUGGUAUUGGUCAAAAUGGCAAUUUCGUGGGGUUAUGAAUUCGUGGAUUUCAACUUUUGAACAUAAAUUGAAUGGGAAUUUUACUUGUUCGUUGGGAUUAAAUUUCGUGGAUUGACUCAACCACGAAAUCCACGAAAAUUUGUCCCCCACGAAAAUUAAUGAUUUCACAGUAUAUCAGGAGCACAUAAUUCCGGACAAGCUGGUCUGAUCAUACCCAAAAUCGAGUUAUUCCAAGAGCUUGUGCUCGUAUACAUUGCCAUUAAAUCUGAUCAAAAUUGUUAUGAAAAUGUUCAAACUAGAGCGUUAAAAUUGUCAAAUUUGCAACAUUUUAUAUAACAGCGACAGAUAACUCUGGACUUGCUAGUCUGAAAAUACCUGAAAUCUAGGUCUGGCAAGACCCUAUGGCCAUACACAUUGUCUAUUUUAGACAAUUUUCUAAGUUUAUUCAAGAUUGCUUUAAAUAAAAAUGAUACAGUUGUAAAAAAUGGGUAAAUAUUGCUAUUUUUUACUAUAUCAGGGGCACAUUACUCUUGAUAUACUGGUUGGAUCAUCCCCAUAAUGCAACACAUUCCAGAUUAUGUAGCCAUGCAUAUUGUUUUUUUACUUUGGUGAAGAUUGUUAUAGUAAUAUUCAUGCUGGAGUGUUAACAAUGCUAUAUAAUUCAUACUUAACUUUAAAAAGUGGGUGGGGUAAUAUUACAUCUGUUUUUUUAUGAUGAAAUGUCGAUGUAAAUGGUUUGGAACUAUUUUGUUAUUUAAAAUUAUGUUUUGCACACAUCUUCAUAUUGUUUAGGCGUUUUUUUUGAUGAAAAUAUUUGUUGUUAUAGCUUAUUUGCCAGCAAACCCCAAUAUUCUAAAAUUUUGGUACUUUCAUGGUAAAAUACAGAAUAUCUCUCUUAUAUGUCCGGUAACCCCCAAUUUUUUUACCCUUAUUUUGAAGCAGUUUCGAGACACAAUAUGUACAAAAAGUAUUUCAAAAAUCUUAAUUGUAGAAAUAAUGUUAUGCUAUCUUUAGACUGACACAAGUACUGGUCCCAUUGGAAAAAAGUGGGUGGGGUAAUUAUAUUGCCUUGUGAAAAUGAGUAACAGUAUUAUGUGAAAAUCAUUAAAAUUUCAUACUGACUUCAUAGCAUAUUCAAACUGAAUUGUUAGAAAUACAAUUAUUUUACAACUGAUAAA